Molecule: ribosomal RNA, 409 nt
Filed under: uncultured Lactobacillus sp.
Lineage: Bacteria; Bacillati; Bacillota; Bacilli; Lactobacillales; Lactobacillaceae
Description: bacterial SSU rRNA
Rfam family: Bacterial small subunit ribosomal RNA
Source: RNAcentral
AACUUGGAAACAGGUGCUAAUACCGGAUAAGAAAGCAGAUCGCAUGAUCAAGCUUUUAAAAAGGCGGCGUAAGCUGUCGCUAUGGGAUGGCCCGCGGUGCAUUAGCUAGUUGGUAAGGUAAAAGGCUUACCAAGGCGAUGAUGCAUAGCCCGAGUUGAGAGACUGAUCGGGCCACAUUGGGGACUGAGACACGGGGCCCAAACUCCUACGGGGGGAGGGGCAGCAGUAGGGGGAAUCUUCCACAAUGGACGACAAGUCUGAUGGAGCAACGCCGCGUGAGUGAAGUAAGGUUUUCGGAUACGUAAAGCUCUGUUGUUGGUGAAGAAGGAUAGAGGUAGUAACUGGUCCUUUAUUUGACGGUAAUCAACCAGAAAGUCACGGCUAACUACGUGCCAGCAGCCGCGGUAAU